GACGAACGCUGGCGGCGUGCCUAAUACAUGCAAGUCGAGCGGACUUUCAAGAAGCUUGCUUUUUGAAAGUUAGCGGCGGACGGGUGAGUAACACGUGGGCAACCUGCCUGCAAGACGGGGAUAACUCCGGGAAACCGGGGCUAAUACCGGAUAAUAUCUUCCUUCGCAUGAAGGAAGGUUGAAAGGCGGCGCAAGCUGCCGCUUGCAGAUGGGCCCGCGGCGCAUUAGCUAGUUGGUGAGGUAACGGCUCACCAAGGCGACGAUGCGUAGCCGACCUGAGAGGGUGAUCGGCCACACUGGGACUGAGACACGGCCCAGACUCCUACGGGAGGCAGCAGUAGGGAAUCUUCCGCAAUGGACGAAAGUCUGACGGAGCAACGCCGCGUGAGCGAAGAAGGUCUUCGGAUCGUAAAGCUCUGUUGUCAGGGAAGAACAAGUACCGUUCGAACAGGGCGGUACCUUGACGGUACCUGAGCAGAAAGCCACGGCUAACUACGUG
Molecule: ribosomal RNA, 499 nt
Filed under: uncultured bacterium
Lineage: Bacteria
Description: partial 16S ribosomal RNA
Rfam family: Bacterial small subunit ribosomal RNA
Source: RNAcentral